Molecule: ribosomal RNA, 253 nt
Filed under: uncultured bacterium
Lineage: Bacteria
Description: partial 16S ribosomal RNA
Rfam family: Bacterial small subunit ribosomal RNA
Source: RNAcentral
UACGUAGGGACCAAGCGUUGUCCGGAAUCAUUGGGCGUAAAGAGCGUGUAGGCGGCUAUUUAAGUCCUGCGUGAAAUCCUGCGGCUCAACCGCAGACGGUCGUGGGAAACUGGAUGGCUAGAGUGCGGGAGAGGAGAGUGGAAUUCCCGGUGUAGCGGUGAAAUGCGCAGAUAUCGGGAAGAACACCGAUAGCGAAGGCAGCUUGCUACACAAUUAUUGACACUGAGGCACGAAAGCGUGGGGAUCAAACAGG